Molecule: ribosomal RNA, 276 nt
Filed under: uncultured prokaryote
Description: partial 16S ribosomal RNA
Rfam family: Bacterial small subunit ribosomal RNA
Source: RNAcentral
UACGUAGGGUGCGAGCGUUGUCCGGAAUUACUGGGCGUAAAGGGUGCGUAGGUGGUUUCUUAAGUCAGAGGUGAAAGGCUACGGCUCAACCGUAGUAAGCCUUUGAAACUGAGAAACUUGAGUGCAGGAGAGGAGAGUAGAAUUCCUAGUGUAGCGGUGAAAUGCGUAGAUAUUAGGAGGAACACCAGUAGCGAAGGCGGCUUUCUGGACUGUAACUGACACUGAGGCACGAAAGCGUGGGGAGCAAACAGGAUUAGAUACCCUGGUAGUCCCUGA